RNAcentral lists this ribosomal RNA (350 nucleotides) under uncultured bacterium. RNAcentral describes it as "bacterial SSU rRNA". It matches the Rfam family "Bacterial small subunit ribosomal RNA", at positions 157 to 507 of the family's 1533-position model. The record is from RNAcentral.
UGAAGAUUAAUCCCCCAUAGUCUCUUUUUGUGGCAUCACUUAAGGAGUAAAGGUUACGGUAUAAGAUGAGUAUGCGUUCUAUUAGUUUGUUGGUGUGGUAACGGCACACCAAGACUACGAUAGAUAGGGGUCCUGAGAGGGGGAUCCCCCACACUGGUACUGAGACACGGACCAGACUCCUACGGGAGGCAGCAGUGAGGAAUAUUGGACAAUGGAGGCAACUCUGAUCCAGCCAUGCCGCGUGUAGGAUGACUGCCCUAUGGGUUGUAAACUACUUUUAUACAGGAAGAAACACCUCUACGUGUAGAGGCUUGACGGUACUGUAAGAAUAAGGAUCGGCUAACUCCGUG